GACGAACGCUGGCGGCGUGCUUAACACAUGCAAGUCGAACGGAAAGGCCCUGCUUUUGUGGGGUGCUCGAGUGGCGAACGGGUGAGUAACACGUGAGUAACCUGCCCUUGACUUUGGGAUAACUUCAGGAAACUGGGGCUAAUACCGGAUAGGAGCUCCUGCUGCAUGGUGGGGGUUGGAAAGUUUCGGCGGUUGGGGAUGGACUCGCGGCUUAUCAGCUUGUUGGUGGGGUAGUGGCUUACCAAGGCUUUGACGGGUAGCCGGCCUGUGCGGGUGACCGGCCACAUUGGGACUGAGAUACGGCCCAGACUCCUACGGGAGGCAGCAGUGGGGAAUAUUGCACAAUGGGCGGAAGCCUGAUGCAGCAACGCCGCGUGCGGGAUGACGGCCUUCGGGUUGUAAACCGCUUUCGCCUGUGACGAAGCGUGAGUGACGGUAAUGGGUAAAGAAGCACCGGCUAACUACGUG
RNAcentral lists this ribosomal RNA (468 nucleotides) under uncultured bacterium. Its description in RNAcentral is "partial 16S ribosomal RNA". It matches the Rfam family "Bacterial small subunit ribosomal RNA", at positions 28 to 507 of the family's 1533-position model. The record is from RNAcentral.